UACGUAGGGUGCAAGCGUUGUCCGGAUUUAUUGGGCGUAAAGAGCUCGUAGGCGGUCUGUCGCGUCGGAUGUGAAAACCCAGGGCUCAACCCUGGGCCUGCAUUCGAUACGGGCAGACUAGAGUGUGGCAGGGGAGAGUGGAAUUCCCGGUGUAGCGGUGAAAUGCGCAGAUAUCGGGAAGAACACCCGUGGCUAAGGCGGCUCUCUAGUACGGUACUGACGCUGAGACGCGAAAGCGUGGGGAGCGAACAGG
Molecule: ribosomal RNA, 253 nt
Filed under: uncultured bacterium
Lineage: Bacteria
Description: partial 16S ribosomal RNA
Rfam family: Bacterial small subunit ribosomal RNA
Source: RNAcentral